GGGGCGGUAGAUCAAUUGGUUAGAGCACCGGACUGUCGAUCCGGAGGUUGCGGGUUCGAUUCCCGUCCGCCUCG
Molecule: transfer RNA, 74 nt
Filed under: Planctomycetaceae bacterium
Lineage: Bacteria; Pseudomonadati; Planctomycetota; Planctomycetia; Planctomycetales; Planctomycetaceae
Description: tRNA-Asp
Rfam family: tRNA
About the family: Transfer RNA (tRNA) molecules are approximately 80 nucleotides in length.
Source: RNAcentral